RNAcentral lists this ribosomal RNA (253 nucleotides) under uncultured bacterium. RNAcentral describes it as "partial 16S ribosomal RNA". It matches the Rfam family "Bacterial small subunit ribosomal RNA", at positions 524 to 776 of the family's 1533-position model. The record is from RNAcentral.
UACGUAGGGGGCAAGCGUUGUCCGGAUUUAUUGGGCGUAAAGAGCGUGUAGGCGGCUAGGUAGGUCCGUUGUGAAAACUCGAGGCUUAACCUCGAGAUGUCGGCGGAAACCAUCUGGCUAGAGUCCGGAAGAGGAGAAUGGAAUUCCCGGUGUAGCGGUGAAAUGCGCAGAUAUCGGGAAGAACACCCGUGGCGAAGGCGGUUCUCUGGGACGGUACUGACGCUGAGACGCGAAAGCGUGGGGAGCGAACAGG